UACGGGGGGGGCAAGCGUUGUUCGGAAUUACUGGGCGUAAAGGGCUCGUAGGCGGCCAACUAAGUCAGACGUGAAAUCCCUCGGCUUAACCGGGGAACUGCGUCUGAUACUGGAUGGCCGGAGUGUGGGAGAGGGAUGCGGAAUUCCAGGUGUAGCGGUGAAAUGCGUAGAUAUCUGGAGGAACACCGGUGGCGAAGGCGGCAUCCUGGACCAUUACUGACACUGAAAAGCGAAAGCCAGGGGAGCAAACGGG
RNAcentral lists this ribosomal RNA (253 nucleotides) under uncultured bacterium. RNAcentral's name for it is "partial 16S ribosomal RNA". It matches the Rfam family "Bacterial small subunit ribosomal RNA", at positions 524 to 776 of the family's 1533-position model. The record is from RNAcentral.